CCUACGGGUGGCAGCAGUGGGGGAUAUUGCACAAUGGGGGAAACCCUGAUGCAGCGACGCCGCGUGUGGGAAGACGGUCCUCUGGAUUGUAAACCACUGUCUCCAGGGACGAAGAUGACGGUACCUGGUGAGGAAGCUCCGGCAAACCACGUGCCAGCAGCCGCGGCAAUACGCAGGGAGCGAGCGUUGUCCGGAAUUACUGGGUGAAAAGGGAGCGUAGGCGGGGAUGCAAGUUGGGUGUCAAACCUACCGGGUCAACUGGUAGUCGCACUCAAAACUGCAGCUCUUGAGUGAAGUAGAGGCAGGCGGAAUUCCAAGUGUAGCGGUGAAAUGCGUAGAUAUUAGGAGGAACACCAGUGGCGAAGGCGACCUGCUGGGCUUUUACUGACGCUGAGGCUCGAAAGUGUGGGGAGCAAACAGGAUUAGAUACCCCUGUAGUC
This 440-nucleotide ribosomal RNA is filed under the name uncultured bacterium. Its description in RNAcentral is "partial 16S ribosomal RNA". It matches the Rfam family "Bacterial small subunit ribosomal RNA", at positions 338 to 795 of the family's 1533-position model. The record is from RNAcentral.